Molecule: ribosomal RNA, 394 nt
Filed under: uncultured bacterium
Lineage: Bacteria
Description: bacterial SSU rRNA
Rfam family: Bacterial small subunit ribosomal RNA
Source: RNAcentral
AUUAAACGCUGGCGGCAUGCCUUACACAUGCAAGUCGAACGGCAGCACGGGGGCAACCCUGGUGGCGAGUGGCGGACGGGUGAGUAAAGCAUCGGAACGUAUCCUGGAGUGGGGGAGUAACGUAGCGAAAGUUACGCUAAUACCGCAUAUUCUGUGAGCAGGAAAGCAGGGGAUCGCAAGACCUUGCGCUCUGGGAGCGGCCGAUGUCGGAUUAGCUAGUUGGUGGGGUAAAGGCCUACCAAGGCGACGAUCCGUAGCGGGUCUGAGAGGAUGAUCCGCCACACUGGGACUGAGACACGGCCCAGACUCCUACGGGAGGCAGCAGUGGGGAAUUUUGGACAAUGGGCGGAAGCCUGAUCCAGCCAUGCCGCGUGAGUGAAGAAGGCCUCGGUGU